AACAUCGCGCACCUGCGGGAACCUGCGGAGGGAUCAUUAGUGAACGCCCUCACGGGCUUAUAACUAUUCCAAACCUCUGUGAACCGUGCCCUUCGGGGCUAUCUUACAAACAUGGUGUAAUGAACGUCAUAUAUCAUAACAAAACAAAACUUUUAACAAUGGAUCU
Molecule: unclassified non-coding RNA, 166 nt
Filed under: soil metagenome
Description: partial contains 5.8S ribosomal RNA, internal transcribed spacer 2, and large subunit ribosomal RNA
Source: RNAcentral